This 437-nucleotide ribosomal RNA is filed under the name uncultured bacterium. Its description in RNAcentral is "bacterial SSU rRNA". It matches the Rfam family "Bacterial small subunit ribosomal RNA", at positions 216 to 645 of the family's 1533-position model. The record is from RNAcentral.
CGCUUUUGGAGCGGCCGAUGUCUGAUUAGCUGGUUGGUGGGGUAAGGGCCUACCAAGGCGACGAUCAGUAGUUGGUCUGAGAGGACGACCAGCCACACUGGGACUGAGACACGGCCCAGACUCCUACGGGAGGCAGCAGUGGGGAAUUUUGGACAAUGGGCGCAAGCCUGAUCCAGCAAUGCCGCGUGAGUGAAGAAGGCCUUCGGGUUGUAAAGCUCUUUCAGUCGAGAAGAAAAGGCUGCAGUGAAUAACUGUAGUUUAUGACGGUAUCGACAGAAGAAGCACCGGCUAACUACGUGCCAGCAGCCGCGGUAAUACGUAGGGUGCGAGCGUUAAUCGGAAUUACUGGGCGUAAAGGGUGCGCAGGCGGUUUUGUAAGUCAGAUGUGAAAUCCCCGGGCUUAACCUGGGAAUUGCGUUUGAAACUACAAGGCUAGA